This 74-nucleotide transfer RNA is filed under the name Candidatus Omnitrophota bacterium. RNAcentral's name for it is "tRNA-Arg". It matches the Rfam family "tRNA". From Rfam's summary of the family: Transfer RNA (tRNA) molecules are approximately 80 nucleotides in length. Their secondary structure includes four short double-helical elements and three loops (D, anti-codon, and T loops). The record is from RNAcentral. Lineage: Bacteria; Pseudomonadati; Candidatus Omnitrophota.
GCAUCAUUAGCUCAAUUGGAUAGAGUACCUCGUUUCUACCGAGGGGGUUGGGGGUUCAAAGCCCUCAUGAUGCA